Long non-coding RNA from Drosophila yakuba, 5334 nucleotides. RefSeq lists it as uncharacterized. The transcript is spliced from 2 exons. The record is from RefSeq and is a predicted model, not a curated record. NCBI's taxonomy places the organism in Eukaryota, Metazoa, Arthropoda, Insecta, Diptera, Drosophilidae.
CUCCGCACCUCCACUAGCUGAGUAACGGGUAUCAGAUAGUCGGGAAACGAGACUAUAGUUUUCUCUCUUGCCAGAAGCACAACCGAAACCAGAAUGAGAACGAGCGCUCGAAACGACAGUGCAUAAAAUAUAUUUUUGCUUUUUACUAAAAAUUUCCAUACAUGUUUCAUGUAUAUUCCUCUGAACGCCCCUCAACCUCAAAGUUCUAUCUGGUGUAUAAAUUUGCGUUUGCAUUUUUUGGAUGAUAAGGUUGGGAGGGUGGAAGUAUUCUGGGUUCUGGGGGAUUGAAAGCGAUUGUCUGCUUGUUUAUGCUAAAGCAAAGAGAACCAGGCACUCCGGCAAGGAUCUGAAAAACGCAAACAAAGCCUUUUUGUCGGAGCCAUAUGCUGGAUUUAGUUUCCUUUCAAAGUAUUUCUUUUUUGCUUUUGGAUCUAAAAAAAAAUGUUUAGACAAAUUAAAAACAGUAAGGGUAAAGGUUCGUUCUAUGGACGGUGGAGAAUUUGUUUUCUGCGUUGGAAACGCGCAUUUGGGUCAAGGUGUUUGUUUUCCGUUUUUAUUAUUCUUAUUGUUGCUGUCGACUUGUUUUUGCUUUAUUAUGAAAAUUGCAGCAACGACAACAACGUAUUGUUUUCCUUAUAUUAUUUUUGUUGUUGACGCUGUCAUUAUGAAAGCGAAAUGCAGGACAACGGCAAAAAGGAAUAAACACCCUCAACCGCCCACAUGUGCAUAAAAUAUGUUCUUGAUACUAUUCGUGGCGUGUUAGCCAUGCCAAAACGCUAAAAAAAAGUCAAAUAAAUUGCCAACUAUAAACUAAAACCACGUGAAGCCAUCAUUUAUAUCGGCACACUGAAACUUAAGCUGUUUAUCUAAAACGUAAAAGCAAACAUCUUUCCUAAAUUUCAUGGGAAUUAAUAAUGGGAUUGAUUGAAGUGCUAUAAAAUAUACAAAUAUACUUUAAAAUGCGAACAUAUUUUUGUCAAGCUUUACAAAAUUAAAGAUUAAGCAUUUGGGAGCCCAGUUUGUUUGCCGUGCAAGGUAACGUCCUUCUGCAGGCGUUUGAAUGUGUAUAAGAUGUGCGGGCGCCGGUGUUUCUGCGAAUCACGAGUCAAGAAAUAAUCAAUAAAAAUUAAAUAUAUCACACGGCGUUCCCAUUGCCGCCAGCCGGUAACGGUUAGCUUCACCUUUACCUUUACCGCUACCGAAACCGUUACCGCUUCCCGAAAUGCCCAUUACACCAACGUACCCGGUUCGUUAUUUUCGGUUUGGCUCAGUACGCUGCUCAUUUCGUGUUCACGUGCCAUUAUACCGAAAAAUAAUAUUCUUAUACAUAUACACAUGUACGUCGUAUACAUUGUACUUUUCUACCUUUCGCCAGUUCUUGCCGCUUUGGUGUAAUUUUUUCUGUUGUUUUUUUUUUGCCACCAGCGUGAAGCAAGAGGAAGAAGCAGCAGCACGCACGCGCAUGGGUGGCUAGAAAAUUCUCCGGGGUGAAGUACAUAGUUCGGGGUUUAAGGCACCCCUAGUUGACUGAUUUUCAUGCCUGUGUCAUGUUAUUGGGUAAAUUGUACAAUGUUAAAACCAGCCACAGUAAAAUUUCGCUGGCAACGAGUUGAGCGGAGGGGAGGGGGCUAUGAAAAUUGGAGAGUAGGGGUCGCCGAUAAGCGACAUAUCAGGGUGCAUCCUCUAAAAUCCUUGCCGAUAACUCCGCACAGAAAGUUGUUUCUCGCGGAAAACGCGUUGACAACCAACAUCGUAAAGAAUAUUAAAAAAACAACUCCUAUGGGUAGGGAAAAUAUGGAAAAUGGGGUGGGAGCACCUUCAUAACAUAUUUGAAAUUUAAUCGAUUUAUAGGGCGGAAAACUUCAAACUGAUUGUUAAGAAACUUUUUAACUAUCAAAAAGUCAAUUUUAAAUGGGAACAAUUGAGGAUUGUGGUUUUAUUUUGCAAUUGCAUGAAGGGUUUAUUUGCAAAAAUCAAAGACCUAUUAAACUGAAUUGAACUUAAUAGUUUGUAUUCCCCCUCACAUGACUCCCAACUUUAUGACUGUCGAAUUUCUUAGUUGGGAAAUUAAUACAUAUUGAUCUUAUUUUGUAUAUGCACUUCCCAAUUUUUUCCUCUAACUUUCCCAAAUAUAUCAAUUUAUGUUUAAAAAAGAAUCACGUUUUCCAUUCCAUCCCCCGUUUAUCUGCACUCCGAAAACUUAGGUUUCCCGCUGGCUAAUUUUACUGCUAUCGAUCUGUUCUUAAUGCCCUUCGGCCUGCAGUUUCCCACAUGUUAUUGUUCGUUACCACUUCACUUCAUUCAUGCGGAUCCGCAUGAACGACAAUCUUUUUUGGCCUGCAGUGGGGACACAGAGGACAGAGAAGAACAGUUUUUAGAUUUUUUCCAUACUUGUGCUCAUUGCAGCAAAAUGUCCCUUUUAUUGUUGCUCAGUUUAUGUUUAACAAGCCUCCGCUUUCGCACUCCUUUUCUUGCUUCCUUCAUCGAUUAUGCCCAGCCAGAAAAGGUAGGGAACAUCCUCCAGCCACAUUUAUAUUUAAGUAUAUAUCUGGAGGAGGAUUCGUGUGAAAUUUUGUAUGCGGCCUUUGUGUUUGAGUGCCGCGCACACUUGAGUGCACAAUGGGAAAACCUUUUCGCACGCCACACACAUUCUCACGCACACGCUCGCAGGCACAAGGAUACAACGGAUGCAGGAUGAGGGCAGCAGGCAGCCCACAGAGGAAGUUGUCUUCUGCACUAAGUAACUGUUUUAGUUUCAACCGAGGACUGUGUUAAUUGCAAUUAUGCAAUGACUGCCUGUGCUACCGUUUUCCUCGACCCCACAACCCACACCAACACCCAUGCAUAAUUUUCCUAGCACAUCCUUGCGAAUGGCACAUCCCGGCUAUUGCAUUGAUGGCAGUAAUCUGCUGCUGCCACUCCUCCUUCCCCACUUCUCCCCACUAUCCAGGCGUUGCAAGAUUAUUGUGACACAAUUUUAUGCAUUACGCCCGUCAGCACAGUGCGCGUUCUUGUCGGUGGGCGGUGUAACUACAGUGAUUCCACGUUGCAUAAAUCUAUGAUUCGAUAUCCCGCAGUCGAUGCUACAAACUUUGCUGCUGCCAAUGCAGUUCCGUGGCUAAUUAAAGGCGUCAAGCGCCUGAUUCCUCUGAUGUUCUGGUCAUGCUACUCAGAGUCUCGUUUUGCCAUCAACAUGUGGCACAGCAGGCAUCAACACUGUGGUAAGAACAUUUAUUCGGUCAAGAACUAAGUCAGCCUAAAAUGCAGCAGGAAAUUUUAAAUUUUUCGUAAGUAAGACAUGCAAUGCAAUGUCAUACUAUAAUAAUUGAAAUAUAAAUGUACAAUACAUGUCAUUUCAAAAUUUUUAUUAAAUCGCAAAUGGGGCCUUUUUGGAUUUGCAAUAAUAAUACAAUUCGAUUUCAAUAUAUAGUCAUUUGCAGUGUAGGACCUGGAAUCCAGUGCCAUCAUUGCAAAAACGUAUACAAAUAUGAGCUUGUGUGUAAGAGUGGGUGGUUGCGUGGCUCGUGGAGUUGUGGCACAUGCCACACACCGCCAUGCCACAUGCUUUGGCAGCGCCACGUUCCGUUCCAUUAUGCCACUCUCUACGGCAACUAGUUAUGCGGCGGAUGUGUCUGUGGGCGUGGCAUGCGAAUCGAGAUUGGAGAAAGACGGAGCGAGGUAAACCACCCAACAAUCAGCCGCCUUGAAAGGCCGAGAAAAAUCACUAAGAAUAUUGUAGAGAAGGCCUCGAAUACAAAAAUACCUAUUGAUAAGCCUGCCUCAGGAAAGAUUUCGUUCGCCUUUACGGAAUACGUUCGGAAAAAGAUUCCAUAUAUGGAAGAUUCUGUGGUUUUUUUUUGCAAAUAGUUUUCAAAUGCAUCUGUUUCGGCAAUAUCGGGCUUAUCGGUUGAAUACUCCCGUCUCUUACUUGACUAAGGGGUAAUAAAUCGAAAAAAAAAAACAAAAAAAAAGGGAGAAGCAGCCGCGUGUCCUGGCUCCACUCUGCUUCCUUUCACUGAUUUUCUUUCGUUGUGAGUCUGCAUUUAAGUGCUACCAAAAUUGCCUUUUUAAAGGAUUUCCACACGCACACACAUGUCCUCAAUGCCUGGGUGUCUUUUACGCUUGUCAACGUCCUCGACAUCGUUGUAGAUUUUUGUGCCAUUUCUUCUGCCUUUCCAAUUGAUGCAUCUAUCUGAGGGCAUUUCCCUUUUGCACUCCUCUGCAAUUUUCAUCGCUCCUUUUCUUUUAUUUUUCGAUUUCCUUCCCUUUUUCUGUGGCACUUUGCCAGGCUACGCAUUUUCAAACUCAAUUCGUGUGAUAAACUAGAAUAAAACUGCUCGUAAUUCCAUUUUUUAUUCUUUUAGGUAUGGUUGUUUUUGAGUCGGCCUUUCUCCCACAUGCAUUUCACUUUUAUUGGAACCCUCUCGCCAUGCAGAUAAUUUUUUUCCCCAAAUUGCAUUUUCUAUGUCAAAGGCGCUUAAUUUAGUUUUCUUUUGCCUUUUUCAGUUUCAACUUUCAGUUUUAAUCGGUUGAAGCGUUUGUCUUCUGUUUUUGGCAUGUAAUUUUCGAAAUUUGUUUUUCUUGCCAGCGGUUGUCAUUUUGAUUUAUUUUUUAUCGAAUAAAAUGUUAAGAUGCAGUUCGUUUUGUGUCUGGUCAAUUAUUAAAGAGCCAGCAAUUAAAUAAUAACAAUCCAAUGGAAAAAAAGGCCGUAAUGCAAAUAAUAAGUUCUUUUUAAUACGAUUUACAGUUAUGAACGAUAAAUUCAGCAAGAAGAAAUAUUCUCGCCUCGUGACGAGACAUUUUCCCGAAGUAAUAAAAGCGCAUUAUACCCAUACUGGCCCCAAAAAAGAACGGAAAAAAUGAAAAAUAGUAAAGCUUGGAACACAGGAAUUAAUGUUGCAACCCUUAGAAAGCCCCAAAGAAGUUGAAAUUGUGUUGAAUUCUUUGGAGAAUUCUGGUGCUGAAGUUUGGGUAAACAAAGGCACCAAAUGUGGCACGUAAACAUAAACGAAUCCAGGCUAAGGUCAGUUGAGAGACAUACGAGUAAACAAUGAGGUUGUUUUUCUACGAAACUCCAAGAAAAUUAACCUCCACAAAGGUUUCAAUUGCAUUCAAGAGUAAACAAAUUUGUGGAAUCGAAAACAAUUGAAAAUGUAUCUUUGUAGGAGGGUAAAUAGGCAAGCGAGCAGUCCAACCCAGUGGAAAGAAGUUAUUUCUAACGUGCAUGUCUUUAACUAGUUUCCUAAAUAUAACUUGUACCAUUCGCCAAGUUUCUAUUUGCCAAUCAAAAGCAAUUAUAAUGAAAUUAUAAUAAUGAGCAAUUUUAAAGGGGUA